Molecule: long non-coding RNA, 902 nt
Filed under: Castor canadensis (American beaver)
Lineage: Eukaryota; Metazoa; Chordata; Mammalia; Rodentia; Castoridae
Description: lncRNA (ENSCCNG00000029778.1)
Source: RNAcentral
UAAUAAUGUCGUUCCCAUCUUAACAUUUGAUUCCUUCGCCUAUAGAAUAAAAUGUAGAUUUUUGACUGAGGUGUUUAUGGCCUGGUCUAUAAUAAUGUAUCAUGCAUGUAAAGAAAGGUUAGAGAAGAUUGAUAUUUGACUAUAUAAGAAUGUGAUGGAUGAAGCAGAGUUGUCGAACUCCAUGGUUUUGAGCUUAGGUAUUUGAGAUUAUUGAAAACCAUUUCAGCUUAGAAAUACUGUUCCAUUAAAUCUGUCUUUUUAAUUCUCUCUGGAAUUCCCAAAGGAAUCCACAUGGCUUUAUUCCUCUUUGUAAGUUUAGACUCCUUUGGAGUUUUGUCAUUACUACAUAUUCAUACAUUUUUGAAUCUUUUCUUGUGCCUUCUUUAUUUCUGAUUAUUUUGUGAUACUUGAAGGAUUUUCUGGGCUGGAGGCCUGGCUCAAGUGGUAGAGCAUUGGUAUAGUAGGCACAAGGCCCUGAGUUCAAUUCCUAGUACCGCCAAAGGGAAAAAAAAAGAUUGUCUUCUCAGAGGAUCCCUUGCCAGGUUCAACCAAAAAAGCACGCUACUAAUUGUAAACUCAGACUUAAUUUGGAUGAUUGUAAAUGACUUACAAAUUUGCUACUUCCUUUUUAGGAAGGACUGUCAAGACCAGUUCUUGAGUACAUUGACUUGGUUUGUGGUGGUAAUGAAGAGCCUCACAUCCACCACAGUGAUAAUUGAAUCGUAAUAAAAAACAUUCAUAGAUUUUUGUGACACUUGUUGACUAUAGAAUUUUAAAACUGAUAGAGGAUUUUUCAAGAAAGAGCAAAUCACACUGAAGUUACAGGUAUAAACUGAAAUUCAAGGUAAGUAGAUUAGUUGAAACUUUAUUUCUAAAAUUAUAUAAAGAAAUCAUUUAGAGAA